RNAcentral lists this non-coding RNA (29 nucleotides) under Cricetulus griseus (Chinese hamster). The record is from RNAcentral. Lineage: Eukaryota; Metazoa; Chordata; Mammalia; Rodentia; Cricetidae.
UAGAGGAACAAGGCUGCCAAGAAGUCUCA